RNAcentral lists this ribosomal RNA (361 nucleotides) under uncultured bacterium. RNAcentral describes it as "bacterial SSU rRNA". It matches the Rfam family "Bacterial small subunit ribosomal RNA", at positions 28 to 391 of the family's 1533-position model. The record is from RNAcentral.
GACGAACGCUGGCGGCGUGCUUAACACAUGCAAGUCGAGCGGUAAGGCUCCUUCGGGAGUACACGAGCGGCGAACGGGUGAGUAACACGUGAGCAAUCUGCCCUUCUCAUCGGAAUAACCAUUGGAAACGAUGGCUAAUGCCGAAUAUGACCUCGGAUCACAUGUUCUGAGGUGGAAAGCUCCGGCGGAGAAGGAUGAGCUCGCGGCCUAUCAGCUUGUUGGUGAGGUAAUAGCUCACCAAGGCGAUGACGGGUAGCCGGCCUGAGAGGGUGACCGGCCACACUGGGACUGAGACACGGCCCAGACUCCUACGGGAGGCAGCAGUGGGGAAUAUUGGACAAUGGGCGAAAGCCUGAUCCAG